CACCUACACAGGCCACUCAUGGUAUUGAGAGGUGCCUUAGCAACAGAUAAUCAUUAUUAUACCUUUUCUUAAAUUUGACAAACAGGCACUCCAGCAUCAGUCCCAUAAAACCUGGACUUACUACAGUAUCUACCUAGGAAGCACCAAAUAGCAUCUUGCACUGAUACCACGCUCUUAGAAGAGUCCAGCUGCUGGACGCAACCUGCAGAGGGACCGUAGAGAAGAUAAGGCUGGAGUGGGAAAGGAAGAAGAGGGAGUGAGGGUUUGGAACGGGAUGGUGCUGGAGGCAAUUAGGUAAUAACUUACCUGAGGACAACUUGAACCCAGAGCACUGUCUUUCAGAAGUCUACCAGCAUUACAGAAAACGCCUCUCUAAUUUUGGCCGUGGCUCCAACAGUAACUCAGAAAGAAGGCAAGACACUGGACAAGUAGCUGCAGCGCUCUUAGAGGUCACUGUGGAGGUGAGGAAGGCACAGCAGAGUGGAAAGGGCCCAAGCUUUGCCAACAGUAGAACCUGGACUUCAGCCUUCUCU
Molecule: long non-coding RNA, 533 nt
Filed under: Homo sapiens (human)
Lineage: Eukaryota; Metazoa; Chordata; Mammalia; Primates; Hominidae
Description: HSALNT0353515
Source: RNAcentral